Long non-coding RNA from Paramisgurnus dabryanus, 984 nucleotides. RefSeq lists it as uncharacterized. NCBI's taxonomy places the organism in Eukaryota, Metazoa, Chordata, Actinopteri, Cypriniformes, Cobitidae. The record is from RefSeq and is a predicted model, not a curated record.
GAACCGUCGAGUGGUUCAGCAGAAGGGCAGCCAGGGUCAAGACUCUUCCUUCACUCGCUGCUUUGUGCACAUACCGGGCCAGGGACUCCAACCGGGCCAGAGCCGGUACCUCCGCCAUCUGGAUAAGAGCGGGGAGUUGAACUUCUUCAUGUUUCUCAGCAUGAUGCACAAACAGAUCCAACAGGAGAACCCACGGGCCGAGAUCCUGGAGGCCAUGAAGACGAUGAGAAGCCAGGUUUCAUCCUGGUGUCAGAGCUUAAGGUCAAACUGAUGAUACCUGGAGAACGACUUACAAAUCAAGAAGUGCAUGAACUUCUGAAUAAAGCUGGCAUGACAUCAGACGUGUGGAUCGACUAUGAGGAGUUUGUAAACAUCAUUGCUGUUCCCGCCGGUCAAUGCUGAUCAAACUACGAGUCCAGAACUUCCUGGGGUGCGUCCCUCAUAAUUCAGUGCGUUCCUUUAUAUCCUGCAAACAUUCCAGUCAGACUUCUCUAAAACAACACAAAAUGACAUAACCAUGAUCAUAUUUCACUGAUAAACACCUGGCAAAUUGCUUUAAUAAUUUACUAACCGUGGGAUUGCUUAAAAACUAACCGCACGUGUCUUUUAUAGUUAGUUAGUGGUUCAACUUUACAGAUACUCGUUCAAAUAAAGUUUGACUGAUACAGACAUCAGGUUAUUGCUUUGAAUUACCUUGUGUUAUUUGUGCCCUUAAAAGAAUAAGGUGCUUGGAUGUGUGUCAGAGGCAAAGAAAUCUUGAUUCAACACAACUUGCUGUUUCAAAAACAAUAAAUGUCUAAAUAUAACUAGCAAAGUACGCUACAGUCAAAACAUGUUGAAAUGAUUUAAAGAACCACAAGCAAAAUCUCUCAUACGCUGUUUGUGGACCAAAUCAUCUUCAGCUCAUAAAGACAGUUGUAAAUUCUCAUAUGGUCAUGUUAUUGUUUGCAUGGGUUUGUGUGUCUACAUUCAGACAAUAAAGAA